AUGAACGCUAGCGGCAGGCUUAACACAUGCAAGUCGAGGGGCAACACGGGUAGCAAUACCUGGUGGCGACCGGCGCAAGGGUGCGUAACGCGUGAGCAACAUGCCCUAUACAGGGGGAUAAUCCAGGGAAACUUGGUCUAAUAUCCCAUAGUAUUUAGAGGUGGCAUCACCACUAAAUUAAAGCUUCGGUGGUAUAGGAUUGGCUCGCGUGACAUUAGCUGGAUGGUGGGGUAACGGCUCACCAUGGCGAUGAUGUCUAGGGGUUCUGAGAGGAAGACCCCCCACACUGGGACUGAGACACGGCCCAGACUCCUACGGGAGGCAGCAGUGAGGAAUAUUGGACAAUGGAUGGAAAUCUGAUCCAGCCAUGCCGCGUGCAGGAAGACGGCCCUAUGGGUUGUAAACUGCUUUUAUAUGGGAGCAAUAAGGUUUACACGUAGACCGAUGAGAGUACCAUAUGAAUAAGCAUCGGCUAACUCCGUG
Molecule: ribosomal RNA, 483 nt
Filed under: uncultured bacterium
Lineage: Bacteria
Description: bacterial SSU rRNA
Rfam family: Bacterial small subunit ribosomal RNA
Source: RNAcentral